Molecule: long non-coding RNA, 1701 nt
Organism: Cebus imitator (Panamanian white-faced capuchin)
Lineage: Eukaryota; Metazoa; Chordata; Mammalia; Primates; Cebidae
Exons: 2
Source: RefSeq, a predicted model, not a curated record
GGGUGAUCCUAGAUCAUCAAGCCAUGUUGAUGUUGACUGGACGUCAGGAGCAGACGAUGUCCAUGGCUAACAGAAUGAAUCUAUCAGAAGCAUAGACUUGCAAAUCACCAUGGGGUGGGUUGGUGGGUGGGGGGGGUGGGUGUGUGUGUGUGUGCCCGUCUUCCAUUGUGAAACAAUAAGCUAGUGGUUUUCUAACCUGACUUCUCAUUAGAAUUCAUGCAGAGUUUAGCUUAUAAAAAGUACACCAGUUUUGGCCCCCACCCACCAGGACUGAAUUGAAAUCUCUAGUGGUUAAAACUGACAGAUAAAAUACAAAAUACCCAAUUAAAUUUGAAUUCUACAUAAACAGUGAAAAAAAUAUAAGUAUGUUCCAUAAUAUUUAGAACAUACACUUAAAAAUUAUUUCUAACUAAAAUUUAAAUGUAUUUAUGCAUCUCAGCUUUUUGUUUUUAUUUUUGUCUUUCUCUUUCCUGUGUAGUAAUUCACUCUACCAAGGGUCAAAACUAGGAAUCUGUAUUUUCAACAAUUCCCAUGCUAAUUUUAUUAAAUCUACGUCUCUUUAUCCCAAAUUUUCCUCAUUUAUUCCUCUUUUUUAAAUUCUCAUUUCAGAUUUAAACCAAAGAGCUAUCACACAACAUAUAUAUUUUUCAAAGUUGAGGAGUUAAAUAUUUCUUAUAUAAGUAACUAUCUAGAAAGCAUAUUCAUGAUUCAAGGUAAGCCUUUUUAUUUUAAUAAAAUGCUUGUUUCAAAUGUCUUAUUAUUUAUAUUGUAUCCAUCAUUUUAUUCAAAAACAUUUCUGUAGUAUAUUUACUGUUACAUGAGAUGCACAGCCAUCCAGUUUGGGAUUUUUACAAGCUACUAAACCUCUACUUAAGAUGAAAAACAUGCAAGGUGGUCUUUUCUAGCAAGAUAAUAAAGUUCUACAUUUUCUCCAGUGGAAGUAGCACAAGUCCAAAAAUCUUAUCACAGUAAUUUAGAAUGAGGAAAGUAAUAACUAAUGCUUCUUUCACAAUUACCCUAAAGGGGAAGCAAAUGAAAAUCAACACAGAGAAGAACAAAUGGGCAAUUAAGGCAAGUACAGCCAGGUCUCUGGGAGGAAUUUCUUAAUCCCAGCAGCUUGUAAUCAGGAGUUAGGACCCGAGUGUGAAAAUGUCAAUGCAGCAACACAGAAUCCUAGAAAGACUCAGUAGGCGCAGCGACUCAAGAUGGAAUAUGAGCAGUUGCUGAGAACCUAGAGUCUGGGAAACAUAGCACAUUCCGACGCAAUUCCCAGAGCCCAGGUACCAUGGGAACAGCUGAUCCUCCACAAACAUCUAUUGAUAUGUGGAGAUGAGAUGGGCCCUGACAUGCUGUCUGGAUAUUAUGAGCAAGGUGGAGGGUAACCAAGGGGACCAGGCCAACAGCAUGGAGCUGCAUAAAUCCCAGCUGUGAAUUCAAAAGGGAUGCCUAGGCUUGAAUAUUCCUUUUGCCCCCAGCUAAUGUGUGUACUGACCUCUGCUUAAAGACCUUGGAAAUAUUUCUAAGUAAUUUGGUUCCCAUAAAUACAAUGUCCUCUUCAGGUGUUAUAUGAGGAAGAACUAAAAAUAAUUAGUGCAAAUGAUCCUCAGACCUUCCACCACCUGAAAGAGCUUAAAAAAGGUGGCGUCGGGGGAGGGCAUAAACUUUGCUUUAAAAAGAAAAUAAAAAGCGUUUUGUACUGGA